UGUAAAUGUUGUUAUGUUGGACGCAUUAGAUUACAUUUAAACAAGGGCAUAUACUCUUAAUGGAAAAGUUUAAACCCUUGUUGCUGUAAUGAACUUAGUGGCUAUUGCAUGUUGCACCAGUCGCUUCUGUUUGCUGGUCAUGACACAUGUUGAGUGAUUUUAUAGUCUAAUCAUUUUCUUUGUAUAUCCCCACGUAGGUUGUACUGAAGCCCUCUGAGCCAGUAACAAUGACACAACAUCACUGUUCGUGUGUUGCUGGCACUGCAUUAUGCAACCACACAGUUGCAUUGCUAUUCCCGUCUGCACACUAUUCACAGAUGGGAACACCAGUUGUCACACCUGUGCACAGCUGCACAGAGGCCAAGCAGCAGUGCCAUAAGCCAAGGACUGUGCUAUGUUUUAAAAGCUAUACCACAUAUCAACAUCAAAUGAUUAUAAUCACAUCGUAAUGCUAAUAAAUUAUUUAAUGAAAACUUAAAUUGUCUCAUGAUUAGAUUUAGAAUAGUGCUCUUGUCUUUUUACAGGGUCUGCAACCUGGGCCCAUAGGCAAAAUGACCAUCACCAAGCCCACCAAAAAGCGCAUGGCAGGAGGGAUUAGAAGUACACUCUACAGUGCCCUUCUUGGACCGCUCCCUGACCUCUCAGUUCUCCAGAUAGAAGAGGCAUACAAGAACUUUGACCCUCUAUCCAAGCCAUUGAUCUGCAGCAUGGGGAUUGUCUGCGGAAAAGCUUUUAGUCGACUCCCAUUUUGGAAAGCGACAGGUGGGGAGCCUCCUGUCUUACCAGCAGCCUCCAAUCAAAACUUGACACGUAGUUCACCAUAAGGAGACACCACACUUCCCUUCACUGCUCCUGGAUGAUUACAGACUGGAGAGCACUUUCAAGGCUGCACAUUUGUGCUCAGUGAAGAAGACCAGCUUCACGUAGUCUCUUCAGAGAAUUUGGCAGUACGUCCAAUCGGCCUCACAACUGCGGACCAGUUUGGAACCAAGCCAGCCCAGGACCUCCUUCACCUGCAGAAUUAUCUGAGACCAGCCACCCGGACAGCUGAUGAAACUGAGGAGUAUUUCUGUCUGUAAUAAAACAUUGAAGGCCAAACUGCUACAGACGAUUUGAGAGAAGACUGAUUCAUGGUCUAACAAACAUAGCUCUAGCUCUGUCAUUUUUCACAGCAGAUGCGGGAGUGUUACCUAGAUGGAUGCAGUGGAUUGAUACGGAUCCAAUGCAAAAAAUAUUCUCUAGCUUAAGCGGUGCUUAUGCCACCCUUUAUAAAGCACAGGUGUAUGUCACAUUUGACAUUGGUGGUGUCACAUAAUUAUGCCACACUUUUAAACCUUUUAAAAGCAUGAUAUAUGGUUAUAGAUAAUUUGUAAAACAUUUUUCGUAGAGUUUAUGAAGGCUAUAUGAAUUACUACUGGAAGAAAAACUCAGUGGCUGUUUUUAAAUCAAUAUCCCUUUUAAGAAGAAUCAUGGUUGCUGUCUAUGGUGUAAAAUAGAUAAAAUGAAUAGUUCGCCCUAAUUCCAAAAUGUGUUGAGGGAAAGCUUGAAAGUCUAUGUUCAUUGUUUUGUGGGGUGUCACACAUGACCAGUUUACGUGGUUGUUUAAAAUAGAUAAACCUGAAAUGAUAGAAAAUAUUACACUUUCAAAUUGUUAUUAAAGUGCAAGUGAUGGUUCAAUAUAACUCGUUGUGCAUUAAGUAUGUAAAGCUUUGCGUAAACUCGGUUCUACACAAAAAAAAAAAAAGGUUCUUAAAUGGUUCAUCCUCAUCAAAUAAGGUUCCUUGUAGAACUCUUUCCAGAUAAAUCAACUUUUGUUAUAUGUGGGGUUCUUGAGGUGGUAUUUACGGGUCUUCAGAAUUCUAAAAGGUUCUUGAAAUAUAUGGAAGCCUGCAGAUGUGUCUCUUUCAUAGCACACAGCAAAUGUGCCAGUGUCCAAUAGUGUUGAUUAUUCAGUGUAACAUUUGAAGUGUUGAUUCAAGUAGGACUGUCCCAGACUAAAAAAAAUCUUGGUCAAACGAAAGUUGUCUGUUCUUAUUUUAAACGUGUAUUUUUCCAUAUAUACUGAUAAAAAUAAAUAUGCUAUCAAUCACAUGA
Molecule: long non-coding RNA, 2094 nt
Organism: Oncorhynchus keta (chum salmon)
Lineage: Eukaryota; Metazoa; Chordata; Actinopteri; Salmoniformes; Salmonidae
Exons: 3
Source: RefSeq, a predicted model, not a curated record